RNAcentral lists this long non-coding RNA (8277 nucleotides) under Lactuca sativa (garden lettuce). RNAcentral describes it as "long non-coding RNA (LSAT_LNC008030)". Lineage: Eukaryota; Viridiplantae; Streptophyta; Magnoliopsida; Asterales; Asteraceae. The record is from RNAcentral.
CUGGAUUCCUGAGAAUACAAGUUAUUUGAAAAGAGUAGAUCAACAUUUAAGCUGGUGAGUUCAUAAAUAUUUUAGUUCUGUAAAGUAUACUCUAGGUUCUUUGAAAAAGUUCAUUGGUUCCUCUAGAAAAUCCUAUAUUUCCUGAGGUGAUAAACUGAUAACUUCAAUAGUUUCCCUCUGUAAUUACUUAGUUUAUAUUAAUUAUGUAUAACCUAAUAUCAAACUGACAGUGAAAUGGGUGGAUCUUCCCUAAGCCUACAACCAAAACAAGGAACAGAAAGUAAGGCGGAAGUCACACAUUUCACUGUCAAUCGGAUAUUACUUAUUUAUAACUCUGAUGUCAUAACUAAGGACUUAUAGAAUUAACCACUAAAGGUCUUUUAUGUUAUACUAGUUUACAGAGAUUUAAUGACUAAGUUUCAUUUGAUAAGUGGUUUAAUUCCAUAACCUGUUUCAUUUGUAAAAGUGGCUUAAUCCCAUAACCGUUCCAUUUGUAAAAGUGGUUUAAUCCCAUAACCGUUCCAUUUAUAAAAGUGGUUUAAUCCCAUAAACCGUUCCAUUUGUAAAAGUGAUUUAAUCCCAUAAACCGUUUCCUUUGUGUAAGUGGUUAAAUCCCAUAAACCGUUUCUUUUGAAAGAGUGGUUUAAUUCCAUAAACCGUUUCAUUUGUAAAAGUAUUCUUAGUUAUAUAUGUUCUAUGGUAAAAACCUUAGUAUUAAUCCUGGAAAAUAUUAUAUUAUCCAUAAUACUGCCUUGUGGUUUUAAAUGUUCAAAAACAGAAGUACAAGUAUAUUUACCAUACUUGAUUUCAUGAUACGUAGCUUUUACUGUAAGUAAAAACUACAGAAGGUAUAUUUGGUCGGGAUGUAAUUAUCUUUUCUUACUGUUUUAAGAGAAGUAUAUUACUUAGUAAUUCACUCAUUGUUUUAUCCAUGUGAGUUCUAUUAACCAUACUAAUAUGACUGAUAUGCCUGCGGCGACGUUCUUCAGGCGUCAGAAUGGAAUGAUAUUUGACACCCUAGGCCUGCCGGCCAAAUUAUAGCGAACAGUAGAGGUGCGGGAUUUUCUGUCUCAUAUAGAUCUAUACACAAAUUCACGCUCUCCCUACAAGACAUUCUGGUGAAUAGGUCAGGACUUAAAGUCGUACUUAAAUAAGUACACCGUGAAGGGUCUCAUAAAUUUAUUGUUUCAACGAGAUUUACGAUGUAUUAUUACCCCGUGAUUGCUAACCCUGGUACUCUGUAUCGUACCUUUGUUAAUGCAAACUCGGUAUGAUGUAUUAUUACCCCGUGAUUGCUAACCCUGGUACUCUGUAUCGUACAUUUGUUAAUGCAAACCCGGUAUGAUGUAUCUUUACUUCUUUAAUAUGUUAUUCGUAUAUUAAAGGCAUUAUACAUAUCCUGGUAUAGUUAAAUAAGUUUUGGUACUUUCCUCGGAAUGUGAAUCAUACUCGUAUAUUUAGUUUUGAAUCAUAAAUUAUACCUAUUAUAAUUUAUAUGCUCUAUCUGGUUAACAUGAUUUCUCAUGGAUGAACACCUUUGCUCAGCCUGAUACAUAGGUAAUGAUACCAAAACGAGUGACCUUUUUAUACUAAUAUAUGUAUAAUAUAUAAUUAAGAAGGAAACGACCUUUGGACAAAUAACACAACCUUAAGUCCACAUCCAAACAAGGAAAAGGAAAUAAGAUAAUUCAUUAGUCCUAAGUCCUUCAAAUCUUAUUUAUAUAUUUAGACAUAUAUAAACAUGAUUUUUUUGGCAUUUAUAGUUUGAAAUAGUUUAUAAAACAUUUUUCAAAGAAUUUAACAGAGUUUACAUGACUUUAAAUAUUUAACAUGGCUUUAAGUCAUUUUGGAUGUAUUUGGUAAUUCUUGAAAGCAUAUGGAAACUAUUUGCGUGAUUAUUAUCACAUACAGUUAUUAACACAAUUUAAUAUUGUGUUAAACUUAUAUUCCCCCCUAAAAAGCAUUUAGAAACCAUUAAAAAUGUAAAUUAUAGGGGUAUGAACUCACCUUGAUAGAUGGUCAUUCGGGCAGCGUUUCGUUUCCCGGAAAAUAGUUUGUUUGACGAAAAAUCGGCUUAAAUCGGGCAGAGUUUCGACAGGAGAGAGGAUGAAUUCUCGAGAAUUACGGGGCUCCGGGGCUUUCUUCGGGUUUUGGAUGUGAUACCGGGGCAUUCGGGGGUCGUGAGAAAGUCAAGGGGGUGAAAAGGUGAAAAUUAGUGAAAUUUGGGGUGAAAAACCUCUCAAAUCCGAGAAGUCUCGCACCCUUUAUAUAGGGAUGCGAGGGUGCGGUUCGAAGAAGACAGGUGGCGAGGCGAGGGUGAGUCAGUAGCACACGCGUCGGAAGGAGCAAAGGCCAUGAGUGCGAAGUCCGGAUGCGAGACAGCGAGGCAAGGCGUGUGUCGGAUCGCUACUGGGCCGAACUUGGGUCCAAUCAGAAGCUGCCACGAGGAUCCGAGGGGUGUCUCCUGCGAGGGUUGUCGGCUGCCUAUUGGACCUCGGUCUCGGGCCAAUCAAAUGGUGACACGGCGAACUUCGGUCCAACCAGAGGAUGACACUUGGAGGCCUCGCAUGCGAGGUGAUGUGUCCGAGGAGUGAAUCAGCGAAAUUUCCUGGUUUUUAAUAUUUUCUUGAUUUUUGUGCCAAAAACUUGCGAAAAUCACAACUUUCGCAUACGAGCUCCGUUUUUGGCGUUCCUUAUAUGCACGCGUAGGUAAAAUCAUACUCUACGAGUUUCAUUUAGACUUCGUCGGCCAUUUUUGACUUUAUUUUUAACAGACCGGGACAGGAAAAUCCGUUAAAAAUUCAUAACUUCUUCAUCCGACGUCCGUUUUCGUCUGUAUUUUUACCGUUGUGCUACUUUUGAAGAGACCUUCGAUUCUUGUUUAAGUUGCGUCGGCUAAAUAUCGAUCGAUUUAUAUUUCGAAUUUUUAGUUGUCUACUGCUAAACCGAAACUUCGAAAAUUCAUAACUUCCUCAUACGAAGUCAGAUUUUGGCGUUCUUUUUCUGAACGUUCUCGGUUUAACAUAUUCUACAACUUUUAUUUAGAUUGUUAAGGCUAAAAAGGCUUUUAUCAAAAAUUCGCCUUUUACACUGAACAGUGUUUUGCCGGUUUUAUCGCGGAUUUUCGAUUGGUCAUAACUUCUUCGCUAUAAAUCGGAUUUUAGUGUUCUUUAUAUUUUUGGAAUCCUUUAUACAAUCUCUACCACUUGGUUCAUCCCAAUUAUGAUUAUUGAUCAAUUUAUUUUUGACCAAAAUUUGUCUGGUGUCACANAUCCCCCCGUUAGAGGGAAUUUCGUCCCGAAAUUAAGUCUAAAGUGAUACUCAUGGACUAGGUCUAAUCUUUUCCUUCCCAAGUGAAUUCAGGUCCCCGGUUUGUAAUCCAGCGAACCUUCACUAACGGGAUAUGACUUUACAUGGUUCUUUAGAUUUCCCUAUCCAUGGUUUUUAUUGGUUCUUCUACAGAGUGUAGACUUUUAUACAACUUGAUUUUAUCAAGUGAAAUAACAAGUGUUUUAUCGGAUAGACACCUCUUAAAAUUAAAUAUGCGAAAGAUGGGAUGAAUGUUAUUAAGUUUUUGUGGUAGUCUAAGUUUAAAGGUACAAGACGGAUUCUGGUAAUAACCUCAAAUGGUCUUAUGUACGUUGAGUUUUGAAUUUCACGCUUUUUAAAGCGCAUCUUGUCUUUCCUGAGUGAGACCUUCAUAUGACAAGGUCAUCAAUCCUGGAAUUCCAAGGGUUUUCAUUUAUCGAAGCCGUAGUUUCUCUGGUUAACUCUGGAAGCUUUAUGGCGCUUCCCGAUUCGUAUUUUGUUUUUGGUAGUUUCUCGGAUGAAUUCCAAAUCAGCGAGGAUGCUGUGUUGAAAUUGGAUCUCGAGCUAGUUGCGUAUUACCUAAUUUAGUCCAGUGCAGAUGGGAUCUGUACUUGUGACCGCAUAAGGUUUUGAAUAGAGCAACUUGAAUGCUAGUGUGAUAAUGGUCUCGACUAAUUGGUAAUUGGGUAUCCCAUUCUUUACCAUAGUCGAUCCCAUCGAAUCAUGACUACUCUAGUUCCUAGAGAUUUUUGAGUGACGGCCUGAACUGGGAGAUGAUUCUAUUAUCUUAGUGGAGAUAACAGAUAUUGGCAUAUCGUUCACUCACACGUUCUAGUUAUCUUCUCUACUAGCCACAUUUUCAGGUCUCACGACUUCUUAUUGAGCCUCCUUACUUUGUAUGGAGAGAUUUGAAUGGGUUAUCAUAGUCAAUGAUUGGAACUAUGACCUAGGUACUCUUUUCGAAUUAGGGUGUUAGUUACUAUAUUGGCUUUGUCGAGAUGAUAACGAAUUUCAAAUUCGCAGUCAUUUAGUAGCUCGACCCACUGUCGUGGUCUCAUGUUGAAUUCUACCUGGUAGAAUACAUGAUGCUGGCUUUUGCUCCGAAGUUCUUGAUCAGACUCAUAAUUGGCUCAUCCAUCAUCACCUCAUGUAUACAAGUCAUAUAUAAUUUAGAUUUCCCAAAACGUUCAGAUGGGUGACUCUGCCCUAGGUCCACAACCAAACAAGGAACAGGAGAUAGGGCGGAAGCACACAUCCUUAAUCUUGUUAAGUCUAACUUAUAUACCACCCUCGUGUAUACACUUAGCAACAAUAGAUCAAGUUAAUGAGUUCUUAGUCUCUAUUCUUGAACUUGACCUGCGGUAAAAUGAUUUUCCUAUGAGAUCUAUUGAGGUAUUUCAGUAGUUACUAACUUCUAAGACUACUUCUGUGCUUUUCAUUUGAAGUUAGUAGGCUAGAAUGGCGUGGUACUCUUCUCAUGGGUACUUCUAAAGUUUUGAAACGAGAGGAAACCUAAGGGUUUUGUGUUAUGGAUUGAAAGAAUUUCAUCUUACGGCUGAUUAAGGAAAAGUUCUCUUAUACAGCAUAAGAAUUUUCACAUGGUAAGGGCCAGGCCAAACCAUGUUGAAUGAGGAUGUCAGAUUUUUCUCGAUGAAAUAGAUAUUAAGUCGUUCUAGGAUGAAUGAUUACUAGAUUGAUAUCCUAAGUACCUAAGUUUUCCGCGCUUCUGGUUUUAUUCUGUUAUUAUCACUACGAACCCCUUUUUGCUUCGAAGUUGGCGGGUACUACCAAUAUGAGGGUUCUGUUAAUUUGAAAUUAUGAACUUUCAUGAAACAAUCCUUACUAGGUCUCUCUAUAAUUGCUUGGUGCAUACAAGUCAUGUAUAAUUAAGAUUGGUAAGACCUUAGACUGAGCAACCCUGCCCUAAAUCCACAACCAAAAAGGAACAGGAAAUGAGGCGGGAUUACUCACUCUAACUCUACAAAUCUUAAUUAUAAAUGACCCUUAUAUAUACACUAAGUUAUCAUAGUUUACCUGUUAGGGUUUCAAAUUUUUAUAUAAGUGUUAUGAUUUAGUUUGAACGGAAAAGUAAUCAUAAUUAUAAAUAGUUAUCGGGGUUUGGAAGCGUACCAAAAUAUAGCAGGUUUCUUUGAUGCUUUCCCAUGUAUUGGGAUCAAAAUCCUCCUGCUCCCCCUCCGUUCUUCUCUGUUAGACAGUCCCUCUUGUAAUGUCCUUUUUCACCACAAAGGUGACAUAUGGGAAUGAUUCCAACAUCGGUAGUUGAAGUGAUGAACUUGACCGGAGUUCUACAGAUGUGGGCGGUAUGCCCCUUUAUGUUGCAUCUAUUGCAAUGUAGGUCUCGGAAAACUCCCUGAUGAUGGUAGUUGCACUUGCUGCAGUGUAGGAGGUUUCCUAAGUAUGGCUUGGUUGGUGCUAGAAUAACAGGGCUGAUGGGGGUAUCGAUUGCCCCAGUUAGUUGCCCUCUGUUAGGUUCUUGAGUUGAACAACUCCCUUUCAAGUUCUCGAACUUUCAUUUAAGGAUAUUAGUCUUAAGGUUCGAGGUGUCCUUACAAGCAGGUGCUUGUGGUUGUACUUGGCCAUCACCACGAUCAGGGUUACCGAUAGCAUUACUACUAACAUUUACAUUGUUAGCAUUAAGGUGUGUCAGGACAGCUGUUACAGCUGUUGUGACCGCAACUUGAAAUGUAGUUGCAUCUAUCUGAAGGAUUGGUGUUUUGCUGGUGAGUUGGUUACACUUCUUUGGAGGCAUGAUUCUGUUAUAUGUUAAGAAAAUGAGUUCGUGAGCGACUCUCGUGUCUCUAGAUGUAUUCUAACCAUUCGUAUCUAUGUAUUAAUCUUUCGUUUUGUUAUAUUGUUCUUAAUGAUUCGACCUGCAUCCCUAUGAUGCAGUCCUGGUAAGGAAUAUAGUUAAGUUUCUAGAAUGGUUAGGAACCGAGUAUCAUCCGAACUAAGUUACCUUUGGUUGGUGGAUAUCGUUUCCCAAUUUUCGAAAAUAUUCGAAAACAAUUCAUAACAGUGUCUACAUAGACUUAUGAAUUUGAGAAGUAAUCCCCAUCAAUUAAGAUUCUGUGAUCUGAUUUAUGGUCAUUAGCUAUGACAGGAAAAGAGGAUAAGCUCCAAACCUAAUGUGAGUAAUGAAAUCACUAACUCAAUAGGUUGAACCGAUUUACUAGUUAUUACUUAGAUGAAAUGGUGCUCCAACUCUUCACAUGAAUCAUGCGUGGUUUUCCUUUGUUCUCUAUUUUAUUCUCUCCUGAUAUUGAUUUAUUCUCUCCUAGUAUCUAUACAGUGUUUUUCUCCUCUGUAGGUAUAUUGAAUUCCCGGGCUGUCUUACUUCCGAUUCUGACCCUGGUCCCCAUUGCUUCGUAAUGAAGAUUUUGAAUCUUGGAAGUUCAUGCGAAUCUCUCAUUGGUGUCCUUAAUAGGGUAAGGGCACUAAAUGAUUUCUAUAGUUUCUUUACUUCUCAUCUGUUUCUCUCUCAGAAUUCUACUAAUGAAAUUCUGUUGGAUCCUCCUUGACUCUUAUAUUGAUUUCCAGAGUAUUUAUCUAAGGGGUUUAUACAAGAAUGGGAAUGUCUAAAGAAUCUAUGAGAUAAUUUAAAUUUUUACAAAGGUGAUCCUUUCUGGUCCUCCUAUAAUCACAUGGUGUGUACCGAUUAUAUGUAAUCCUGAUCAAAUAGACCUUUGAAUAAGUAAUCCUAUUCUAAAACCACAUCCAAACAAGGAAAAGGAAGUAGAGUGAAAAUCACCUAUUCUAAGUCUAUAAAAUCUCGGCUAUAUAUAACCUUAACGUAUCCACUUAGUACUUAUAGACUUAUUAGAAAAGAUCUUUUUAACAUUUCCCAAAAGUUUAUUUAAAAUACUUCCAUGGUAUUUGAUUCUUGGACUUCCAGAUAUUAGAAGUUGAUAAGUUUUCAGUUUUCUUGUUAUAGCAUCCUAAAAUACUCCUAUAGUAUUUUAACCUUUGUGUUUGGUUCUACAAUUCAUCUGGUACCUAGGUAAGUUUUACACUUGUUGCAACAAUACAAUCACUCCCAAACACAUGUUGGUCAUAUCUCAAAUGAAUAUAGUUGAUCAGGCUAUAUUGAUCCCAUAUAUGAUUACAUAACUGUCUAGGUUUAACUGUAAUGUUCAACAUCCAAAUACUUUUGUUUUGUUCCUCUUGUGAUACUCAUUCUAGUAUAUAUAUUCUGCAUGUACUUAUACUUUUAUAAAAUAUUGUUAUAUUUUUAAAGUAUAACUCUUGGUCAGAGUGUUUUUAUCCCAAUGGGUUUAUAGUUGUAUAUCUUUUAUGACUGAUAUAUUGAGUUCACUAUAAACAAUGCUCUGAUACCAAUCUGUCACACCCCCAAACCAGAACGGCGGAAACGUUCGGGGGCGGAGGACUUCAUGUAAGUAUCACAACACAUGCAAUAUAGUAAUCCAAGUACAAACAACCAUUUCAUUAAUAAGUAUAAGUUUUACAUAAGUGUUUAAACAUUACAUAUUCAAACACCAAAGUAGGUACAGUAGAAGACAAGAGUCGCGGUACGGUACUAGGUAGUCUUCUCAAGAGCUUCGGGAGUGUACCUGUCUACUGGAUUCCUGAGAAUACAAGUUAUUUGAAAAGAGUAGAUCAGCAUUUAAGCUGGUGAGUUCAUAAGUAUUUUAGUUCUGUAAAGUAUACUCUAGGUUCUUUGGAAAAGUUCACUGGUUCCUCCAGAAAAUCCUAUAUUUCCUGAGGUGAUAAACUGAUAACCUCAAUAGUUUCCCUCUGUAAUUACUUAGUUUAUAUUAAUUAUGUAUAACCUAAUAUCGAACUGACAGUGAAAUGGGUGUAUCUGCCCUAAGCCCACAACCAAACAAGGAACAGGAAGUAAGGCGGAAGUCACACAUUUCACUGUCAAUCGGAUAUUACUUAUAUAUAACUCUGAUGUAAUAACUAAGGACUUAUAGAAUUAACCACUAA